RNAcentral lists this transfer RNA (66 nucleotides) under Drosophila borborema. RNAcentral describes it as "tRNA-Glu". RNAcentral also lists the same sequence under 1 other name. Lineage: Eukaryota; Metazoa; Arthropoda; Insecta; Diptera; Drosophilidae. The record is from RNAcentral.
AUUUAUAUAGUUUAAAUAAAACAUUACAUUUUCAUUGUAAAAAUAAAUAUCUUUAUUUUAUAAAUU